Homarus americanus (American lobster) is the source of this 1974-nucleotide long non-coding RNA. RefSeq lists it as uncharacterized. The transcript has 5 exons. The record is from RefSeq and is a predicted model, not a curated record. NCBI's taxonomy places the organism in Eukaryota, Metazoa, Arthropoda, Malacostraca, Decapoda, Nephropidae.
AGACGGAAAGAAUAAUAAUUUAACUAAGAUUAUUAUUUUGACAAUAACUACAGCUAAUUUAUACGUGAAAUUACCCAGAUUUUUUACUUUUUUGUUAAUGGUUAAAUGCUGUUUGGGGUGAAUAGGUUCUCAUGGCUUCUUAUUGGUACAAAAACGCACAUUGAAAUCCGGACUUGCUGUAAGGAAGUUUAUUCAGAAACCUCUUAACGGGUUGUGGUGUAUUGAGCCAGUGUGGGGGAGGAGGAAACAGCUCAAGAGUUUUACAGAAUUGUGAGUAUUUUUAAUUUAUUUUGUUUUCUUAAAUUGGGACGAUAUACUAGCUGUGGUAUAGUCUCCUGUGUAAAUUGACGCCAUAUUGGUACAAAUGGUGACUAGCCUGGGAUUUGAGACGGCCAAAGGAGUCUGUGGUGUUACUACUAAAAGCCUCAUCAUCGCUUCCACAUAAUAAUAUUCUAGUAACUCUUAAUUUAUUCAUCCAUCUUAUAUAAACCAGUAAAUAAGAUAAAUACUUAAAUUAUAUAUCAUAUUUGUAUAUUAUGAAUUAUAUAUUAGUGAAACAAGAACGGAAGUGGCAGCUACAGCAUUAACAGGUAAGGUCGAUUUAUUAAUGCAUUUACUUUACCUUCAGUGUUUACUUUUGCAUAUCUUCAGUUGUAAAUGUUGUUAAUUAGUUUAGUUCAUGUUCACAUUACCUGAUUAAGUUAAUAUAAAUGUAGGUGUUUUAUGAUCAAUGUUAUCCUUGUAGUGUUAUUGGUCAUCACAAACAAGCCAUUACGUAACCCAACACCUUGUCUUUAAGCUCCGCCCUCCUAUGACGUCAUAUUCAAGGCCUCACAAAACACCAAGGAUUCGAAUCACUUCAUGAACGAAGCCCUGAAGAUGGAGUCAUGGAACUGUGAAUCCAGUUUGUCGGAGUCUUUAUCAAGGUAAACCAACACGAAUAUAUUUGUCUUGGUAAACACAACUCAGUGUUAUUGUUGGUGAUCCACAAGUUGUAGUAUUUCUUCCCUGACGUAAAUUAUCGCCUGCUACGAGUGAUGCUUCAGUUUAUUGUGAGUGAGACGCCUCGAAGCUUCAGUAAACUUGAGAAUGAGAGCGGUGAGGCAGGUGUGGUCACGCCGGCUCAUUAUUCACUAGACCUCCUGCCAGGCUGGACCACCUCGCUCCUGGGGCCUACUGACUGUCUGUUGCAGCUAAUACAGUGGUAUGUUGGUUUAGUGGCAAGAUACCCACUAUGGAUGGCAGAGGUCUCGGAUUCGACUCUCGGACUGAUCAAGACAUGUUGAACAGCACGAUGCACAGAGGCAGUAUUCUCAAAGGAGAGAUCAUGGUGCUCAAGGACACCUGCCUACACCUUCAACAGAUACGUCAACACGGAAUUAUUUAGACUCUUAUCCCCAAGGUAGAAAGGAAUGGACUCUGAAAGGCUGCAGCUAAUUUUAUUAUUGAAGAUAGGUGUGUGGCAGUGCAAGACCAUGGAAUAAUGUUUGACCUUGGUUGGUGAAACACUUCAUGCUCAGGUUGUUGCCAUUGACAUUUAUGAACUACAGUAAAGAAGUUAGCCAGCUAAGGGGACGACUGUGGCAGAGAUGACAGGUUUUGGAUGUCUGCAGCCCUCAAAGCCAUGAAGAGGAAUUUGUAAUAUUAGAGCAAUUUAUAAAUAAGCUGUAACUUCAAUGUCCUAUAAAUUUGACAAUUAUCUUGUGCUAUGAAGGUAUACAAAUGCAUUAAAGUUGUCAGUGACCAUUUAUAGUAUUCAUAAAGUAAUGAAAUGUUUUAUGUACAGUAGAUCAUAAUAACUAGGUCAAAUUUAGUAAUGUAAUGGUUAGAUGAUAAUCAAACAGGAAGUGAUGGGCCAAUGGGUAAAUGUUCUUGUAGUUAGUAAUGUACUGUAGCAGUUCUAUGUGCAAAAUAAAACUUUUUCAACACUAUUGAUAGAUUUUCCUCAACACUCAUCAUUUUCCCAUCAGUGUC